RNAcentral lists this ribosomal RNA (497 nucleotides) under uncultured bacterium. Its description in RNAcentral is "partial 16S ribosomal RNA". It matches the Rfam family "Bacterial small subunit ribosomal RNA", at positions 28 to 507 of the family's 1533-position model. The record is from RNAcentral.
GAUGAACGCUGGCGGCGUGCCUAAUACAUGCAAGUCGAGCGAACGGACGAGAAGCUUGCUUUUCUGAUGUUAGCGGCGGACGGGUGAGUAACACGUGGAUAACCUACCUAUAAGACUGGGAUAACUUCGGGAAACCGUAGCUAAUACCGGAUAAUAUUUUGAACCGCAUGGUUCAAAAGUGAAAGACGGUCUUGCUGUCACUUAUAGAUGGAUCCGCGCUGCAUUAGCUAGUUGGUAAGGUAACGGCUUACCAAGGCAACGAUGCAUAGCCGACCUGAGAGGGUGAUCGGCCACACUGGAACUGAGACACGGUCCAGACUCCUACGGGAGGCAGCAGUAGGGAAUCUUCCGCAAAGGGCGAAAGCCUGACGGAGCAACGCCGCGUGAGUGAUGAAGGUCUUCGGAUCGUAAAACUCUGUUAUUAGGGAAGAACAUAUGUGUAAGUAACUGUGCACAUCUUGACGGUACCUAAUCAGAAAGCCACGGCUAACUACGUG